Molecule: long non-coding RNA, 654 nt
Filed under: Salvator merianae (Argentine black and white tegu)
Lineage: Eukaryota; Metazoa; Chordata; Lepidosauria; Squamata; Teiidae
Description: lncRNA (ENSSMRG00000019769.1)
Source: RNAcentral
GAUCGCAAUAAUGAAAUGAUAUGAAUUUGUGAUAAAUGUUCAGCAAUGGGAACUGGCAGGAAAGAACCCAUGAACAUCUUCUACUGACGUUUGGAGUCCACUGCUGAUCAGGUUUCCAUUGCUCCAUGAACAGGUUUACCGUCCAAACCUGGAAUUUCAAUGCUGUUAAAGUGAGGUAAUCUAGUUGUACUACAACAAAUUAAAUGACAAAUAUAUGAACAAAAUCUGUACAUUUUCAUAUUACAGGAUGACCCAGUUAUGUUGUUGUUGGAAAAGUUAAAUAAUUCUUGUAAUGUCUUGUCUGAGAUAAACUAAUUUUUUUAACAUUCCUUCCAACUUAUGCAUUCCAUGAUUUUAGGUUUCCCUUUUUCUCUUCCUCUGGGGAGAAGAAUGAAGAAGAUUCCCCAUCUAUUCCCUUUAGGUUGCCUAUUAACAAGGAAAGAUGUUGGAUCUACCAGAGAUGAAGCCAAGACUGACGUGUUUUGAAUCAAAGGAAGUGAAGACAGUAUAAAGAAAGUUGAUAAUAUAAUAAGAACAUGUUGUCUUCCUUGCAGGGUCCACAAACCAUUAAUCACAUCCUGUUACAAACAAAAAGCAAGGAAAAUUGGAACAGAAGAGAAUAAAAUCAAAAUUCAAUAAGUUUAAAGAAAUUCU